AAUAAAGAAAUCUUUGGUUGGGGCAACCACGAAGAAAAACAAACCUUCGUUUUUUAAAAAAAUAUACAAAUUUAAAAUUUUUAAAAAAUGAUCCAAAAAAUUUUGAACAAAGAAAAAAGUUACCGCAGGGAUAACAGCGUUAUUUUCUUUGAGAGCUCUUAUUGACAAGAAAGUUUGCGACCUCGAUGUUGGACCAGGGUAUCCUAGAGAUGCAAAAGUCUCUAAAGGUAGGUCUGUUCGACCUUUAAAACCCUACGCGAUCUGAGUUCAGACCGACGCAAGUCAGGUCAGUUUCUAUCUA
Molecule: ribosomal RNA, 301 nt
Filed under: Aporometra sp. LH153
Lineage: Eukaryota; Metazoa; Echinodermata; Crinoidea; Comatulida; Aporometridae
Description: partial 16S ribosomal RNA
Rfam family: Bacterial large subunit ribosomal RNA
Source: RNAcentral